UUAAGCGACUAAGCGUACACGGUGGAUGCCCUGGCAGUCAGAGGCGAUGAAGGACGUGCUAAUCUGCGAAAAGCGUCGGUAAGGUGAUAUGAACCGUUACAGCCGGCGAUGUCCGAAUGGGGAAACCCAGUGCAAUUCGUUGCACUAUCGUUAACUGAAUACAUAGGUUAACGAGGCGAACCGGGGGAACUGAAACAUCUAAGUACCCCGAGGAAAAGAAAUCAACCGAGAUUCCCCCAGUAGCGGCGAGCGAACGGGGAGCAGCCCAGAGUCUGAAUCAGCUUGUGUGUUAGUGGAACGGUCUGGAAAGUCCGACGGUACAGGGUGAUAGUCCCGUACACCAAAAUGCACAGGCUGUGAACUCGAAGAGUAGGGCGGGACACGUGGUAUCCUGUCUGAAUAUGGGGGGACCAUCCUCCAAGGCUAAAUACUCCUGACUGACCGAUAGUGAACCAGUACCGUGAGGGAAAGGCGAAAAGAACCCCGGCGAGGGGAGUGAAAAAGAACCUGAAACCGUGUACGUACAAGCAGUGGGAGCACCUUCGGGUGUGACUGCGUACCUUUUGUAUAAUGGGUCAGCGACUUAUAUUCUGUAGCAAGGUUAACCGUAUAGGGGAGCCGCAGGGAAACCGAGUCUUAACUGGGCGUUAAGUUGCAGGGUAUAGACCCGAAACCCGGUGAUCUAGCCAUGGGCAGGUUGAAGGUUGGGUAACACUAACUGGAGGACCGAACCGACUAAUGUUGAAAAAUUAGCGGAUGACUUGUGGCUGGGGGUGAAAGGCCAAUCAAACCGGGAGAUAGCUGGUUCUCCCCGAAAGCUAUUUAGGUAGCGCCUCGUGAACUCAUCUUCGGGGGUAGAGCACUGUUUCGGCUAGGGGGUCAUCCCGACUUACCAACCCGAUGCAAACUACGAAUACCGAAGAAUGUUAUCACGGGAGACACACGGCGGGUGCUAACGUCCGUCGUGAAGAGGGAAACAACCCAGACCGCCAGCUAAGGUCCCAAAGUCAUGGUUAAGUGGGAAACGAUGUGGGAAGGCACAGACAGCCAGGAUGUUGGCUUAGAAGCAGCCAUCAUUUAAAGAAAGCGUAAUAGCUCACUGGUCGAGUCGGCCUGCGCGGAAGAUGUAACGGGGCUAAACCAUGCACCGAAGCUGCGGCAGCGACACUAUGUGUUGUUGGGUAGGGGAGCGUUCUGUAAGCCUGCGAAGGUGUGCUGUGAGGCAUGCUGGAGGUAUCAGAAGUGCGAAUGCUGACAUAAGUAACGAUAAAGCGGGUGAAAAGCCCGCUCGCCGGAAGACCAAGGGUUCCUGUCCAACGUUAAUCGGGGCAGGGUGAGUCGACCCCUAAGGCGAGGCCGAAAGGCGUAGUCGAUGGGAAACAGGUUAAUAUUCCUGUACUUGGUGUUACUGCGAAGGGGGGACGGAGAAGGCUAUGUUAGCCGGGCGACGGUUGUCCCGGUUUAAGCAUGUAGGCUGGUUGUCCAGGCAAAUCCGGAUAAUCAAGGCUGAGGUGUGAUGACGAGGCACUACGGUGCUGAAGUAACAAAUGCCCUGCUUCCAGGAAAAGCCUCUAAGCAUCAGGUAACAUUAAAUCGUACCCCAAACCGACACAGGUGGUCAGGUAGAGAAUACCAAGGCGCUUGAGAGAACUCGGGUGAAGGAACUAGGCAAAAUGGUGCCGUAACUUCGGGAGAAGGCACGCUGGUGUGUAGGUGAAGCCCCUGCGGGUGGAGCUGAGACCAGUCGAAGAUACCAGCUGGCUGCAACUGUUUAUUAAAAACACAGCACUGUGCAAACACGAAAGUGGACGUAUACGGUGUGACGCCUGCCCGGUGCCGGAAGGUUAAUUGAUGGGGUUAUCCGUAAGGAGAAGCUCUUGAUCGAAGCCCCGGUAAACGGCGGCCGUAACUAUAACGGUCCUAAGGUAGCGAAAUUCCUUGUCGGGUAAGUUCCGACCUGCACGAAUGGCGUAAUGAUGGCCAGGCUGUCUCCACCCGAGACUCAGUGAAAUUGAACUCGCUGUGAAGAUGCAGUGUACCCGCGGCAAGACGGAAAGACCCCGUGAACCUUUACUAUAGCUUGACACUGAACAUUGAGCCUUGAUGUGUAGGAUAGGUGGGAGGCUUUGAAGCGUGGACGCCAGUCUGCGUGGAGCCAACCUUGAAAUACCACCCUUUAAUGUUUGAUGUUCUAACGUUGGCCCCUGACCGGGGUUGCGGACAGUGUCUGGUGGGUAGUUUGACUGGGGCGGUCUCCUCCCAAAGCGUAACGGAGGAGCACGAAGGUUAGCUAAUCCUGGUCGGACAUCAGGAGGUUAGUGCAAUGGCAUAAGCUAGCUUGACUGCGAGCGUGACGGCGCGAGCAGGUGCGAAAGCAGGUCAUAGUGAUCCGGUGGUUCUGAAUGGAAGGGCCAUCGCUCAACGGAUAAAAGGUACUCCGGGGAUAACAGGCUGAUACCGCCCAAGAGUUCAUAUCGACGGCGGUGUUUGGCACCUCGAUGUCGGCUCAUCACAUCCUGGGGCUGAAGUAGGUCCCAAGGGUAUGGCUGUUCGCCAUUUAAAGUGGUACGCGAGCUGGGUUUAGAACGUCGUGAGACAGUUCGGUCCCUAUCUGCCGUGGGCGCUGGAGAAUUGAGGGGGGCUGCUCCUAGUACGAGAGGACCGGAGUGGACGCAUCACUGGUGUUCGGGUUGUCAUGCCAAUGGCACUGCCCGGUAGCUAAAUGCGGAAGAGAUAAGUGCUGAAAGCAUCUAAGCACGAAACUUGCCCCGAGAUGAGUUCUCCCUGAGACUUUAAGUCUCCUGAAGGAACGUUGAAGACGACGACGUUGAUAGGCCGGGUGUGUAAGCGCAGCGAUGCGUUGAGCUAACCGGUACUAAUGAACCGUGAGGCUUAACCUU
RNAcentral lists this ribosomal RNA (2900 nucleotides) under Klebsiella pneumoniae. RNAcentral's name for it is "bacterial LSU rRNA". It matches the Rfam family "Bacterial large subunit ribosomal RNA". The record is from RNAcentral. Lineage: Bacteria; Pseudomonadati; Pseudomonadota; Gammaproteobacteria; Enterobacterales; Enterobacteriaceae.